AAGUGCGACGUAGUCGCAACAGUUGGGAAGCUGUGCCAUAGAGGGUGAGAGCCCCGUAGACGAAACGUCACACUCUCUGUUCAGGAUCCUGAGUACGGCGGGACACGUGAAACCCCGUUGGAACCAGCGAGGACCAUCUCGCAAGGCUAAAUACUCCCUAGUGACCGAUAGUGAACCAGUACCGUGAGGGAAAGGUGAAAAGCACCCCGGAAGGGGAGUGAAAUAGUUCCUGAAACCAUGUGCC
This 244-nucleotide ribosomal RNA is filed under the name Limosilactobacillus albertensis. RNAcentral describes it as "Limosilactobacillus sp. Lr3000 partial 23S ribosomal RNA". It matches the Rfam family "Bacterial large subunit ribosomal RNA", at positions 320 to 564 of the family's 2925-position model. Lineage: Bacteria; Bacillati; Bacillota; Bacilli; Lactobacillales; Lactobacillaceae. The record is from RNAcentral.